CCUACGGGUGGCAGCAGUGAGGAAUAUUGGUCAAUGGUCGCGAGCCUGAACCAGCCAAGUCGCGUGAAGGAUGACUGUCCUACGGAUUGUAAACUUCUUUUAUAAAGGAAUAAAGUGAGGCACGUGUGCCUGUUUGUAUGUACUUUAUGAAUAAGGAUCGGCUAACUCCGUGCCAGCAGCCGCGGUAAUACGGAGGAUCCGAGCGUUAUCCGGAUUUAUUGGGUUUAAAGGGAGCGUAGAUGGGUUGUUAAGUCAGUUGUGAAAGUUUGGGGCUCAACCGUAAAAUUGCAAUUGAUACUGGCAGCCUUGAGUACAGGUGAGGUAGGCGGAAUUCGUGGUGUAGCGGUGAAAUGCUUAGAUAUCGCGAAGAACUCCGAUUGCGAAGGCAGCUUACUAAACUGCCACUGACAUUGAUGCACGAAAGUGUGGGUAUCAAACAGGAUUAGAUACCCCUGUAGUC
This 460-nucleotide ribosomal RNA is filed under the name uncultured bacterium. RNAcentral describes it as "partial 16S ribosomal RNA". It matches the Rfam family "Bacterial small subunit ribosomal RNA", at positions 338 to 795 of the family's 1533-position model. The record is from RNAcentral.